Molecule: ribosomal RNA, 253 nt
Filed under: uncultured bacterium
Lineage: Bacteria
Description: partial 16S ribosomal RNA
Rfam family: Bacterial small subunit ribosomal RNA
Source: RNAcentral
UACGGAGGGUGCUAGCGUUGUUCGGAAUUACUGGGCGUAAAGCGCACGUAGGUGGCUUUGUAAGUUAGAGGUGAAAGCCCGGGGCUCAACUCCGGAAUUGCCUUUAAGACUGCAUCGCUAGAACGUCGGAGAGGUAAGUGGAAUUCCGAGUGUAGAGGUGAAAUUCGUAGAUAUUCGGAAGAACACCAGUGGCGAAGGCGACUUACUGGACGACUGUUGACACUGAGGUGCGAAAGCGUGGGGAGCAAACAGG